Molecule: ribosomal RNA, 367 nt
Filed under: uncultured organism
Description: bacterial LSU rRNA
Rfam family: Bacterial large subunit ribosomal RNA
Source: RNAcentral
CUUUACUGUAGCCUGGAAUUGGGUUCGGGCUUUAACUGCGCAGGAUAGGUGGGAGACUAUGAAGUAGUCCUUGUGGGGGCUAUGGAGUCAACGGUGAGAUACCACUCUGUUAAAGCUAGAAUUCUAACCGAUAGCCGUUAUCCGGCAUCGGAACAGUUUCAGGUGGGCAGUUUGACUGGGGCGGUCGCCUCCUAAAUGAUAACGGAGGCGCGCAAAGGUUCUCUCAGGCUGGUUGGAAAUCAGCCGUAGAGUGUAAAAGCAUAAGAGAGCUUGACUGUGAGACUGACAAGUCGAGCAGGGACGAAAGUCGGCUUUAGUGAUCCGACGGCACUGAGUGGAAGGGCCGUCGCUCAACGGAUAAAAGUUA